ACGGCGGGUGCUAACGUCCGUCGUGAAGAGGGAAACAACCCAGACCGCCAGCUAAGGUCCCAAAGUCAUGGUUAAGUGGGAAACGAUGUGGGAAGGCCCAGACAGCCAGGAUGUUGGCUUAGAAGCAGCCAUCAUUUAAAGAAAGCGUAAUAGCUCACUGGUCGAGUCGGCCUGCGCGGAAGAUGUAACGGGGCUAAACCAUGCACCGAAGCUGCGGCAGCGACGCUUAUGCGUUGUUGGGUAGGGGAGCGUUCUGUAAGCCUGUGAAGGUGUGCUGUGAGGUAUGCUGGAGGUAUCAGAAGUGCGAAUGCUGACAUAAGUAACGAUAAAGCGGGUGAAAAGCCCGCUCGCCG
This 353-nucleotide ribosomal RNA is filed under the name Shigella flexneri. Its description in RNAcentral is "bacterial LSU rRNA". It matches the Rfam family "Bacterial large subunit ribosomal RNA", at positions 988 to 1339 of the family's 2925-position model. The record is from RNAcentral. Lineage: Bacteria; Pseudomonadati; Pseudomonadota; Gammaproteobacteria; Enterobacterales; Enterobacteriaceae.